RNAcentral lists this long non-coding RNA (2040 nucleotides) under Olea europaea subsp. europaea. The record is from RNAcentral. Lineage: Eukaryota; Viridiplantae; Streptophyta; Magnoliopsida; Lamiales; Oleaceae.
AUUUUAUUAUAGGGUUAAGUACUUUUACUUUUUUACCCUUUUCAAUUAGUCAAAAAUUGGUUAAUGUUUAAUUUUAUUGGUCAACUAACGGUCAAACGGACGGUUUCCAUCCAUUUAGACUUCGGGUGCUGAUUUUUGAAAGGUUUGGUACCUCCAGUGGUACAAACUAAAUGUUUGGGCAAAUUCUGCUAAUAAACGAAAGGUUUGGUAUCUCGGCUGCAAUUUUCCCGUUUAAUUAUAUACAUUUGAUUCCCCUCAGGUCUUUGUUAAAAUCGAAUAACCUGAUGCAGUACCAGAUCAGUAGGCGGGCUAUGAUGUUGAUUUUUAAGUCAUUUAUCCAUUUAACAUUUUUUGGUUUAUGGUUAAUAAUAAAUUACGCAAGGAAAUGAGGGACUAUGUUGUAAUACUAUUAAAGUUUACACUAGGCCCCAUUUGUUUCUCAUUUUUGUAAGAAUGAGAAUGAAAAAUAUAGGCAUUACGGGCUCCACAUAAGGGAUAGAAAUUCAAAUUGGUGACUUGAUGUGAAGUAUAUGGUCAUAUUUUUCAUUUUAAUGGGGAAAAAAUGAGAAACAAACGGGGGCUAGGUCUAAAAUAAGUUGCAGCUAACUCUUUUAUUCUAAGAUGACUUUAAUUUUGGAAAAACAUAAUAUAGAGAGAUUUCUCCAAUUCUUUGAUCCAAAAUGGUAUUCGUGAGCGAAUCAACAUCUAGUGAUCAAGUGUCAUUGUUUUUGCUUGAAUAUGUCUGUGUGAGUUGGUAUCAGAUACAUCCACGUUUCUGAUACACAUGAGUUGGUGUUCAUGAAGCCUUCUUGGAUGAGAUUCACUAUGGAGGACAUGAACAAAUCUCCGGUUUAAUCGAUGUGUUAGAGCAACAUAUGGAGAUGUUGAAGGCCCAGUAAUCGGUAUUUUUGAAUGCUGUUGGAGGUGAUCGGCAUCAUAGAGGCAACAAUAGGGAUCAACAAAACAGAGUUGAAGGCGUGGUGCCGCGACAACUGGUGUAGAAUCAGACUUGGGGGACUCUAAUGGUGACGACGAUCCUUUUGUCCCUUUCAAUCCGGAACAAUAAAUGGACGUUAAUUUAAGUGAAGAUUAUAACGAUCUACUAAUCUUUGAUGAGGAGCCUGAUGUUUAUAAUGAGAAGGAGGUGAUAAGUCUUUUGAGUUGUUUACUAGAACGAUGUUUAUUUAAAGAAGCCAAGAAUUGUCUUUAUGUGGAAUGGGAUCCAGGUUGAAUUCAAUGUGACAGUUGGAAAUUAUAGGUUGUCUUCAAAAUGUAAUUUUUCUAUUUCCUAUUAUUUCUAUUCCAAGUACCGUGUUUGCAAAGAUUGGGAAGCUUUGUUCAAUUUAUUGCGGCUCUAACUCUAUUUCACAUCUCAGCCAAGAUGAUGUUGACGUGUCAUAAAAAAAUCCAAUUUGAAGGCGUGCAAUGUUAACAAUGAGUGCUUUUCUUUAAGUGGCUUGGUUAGGUUUGAGAUUCAAAGAUCAUAUAAUGAAAUUAAUAGAGCAGUUAUAGAUAAUAUCGUGGUUUCCAUUGCAAUUCAAUAUUUGGUUGAUGAGUUUACUCGCUUCUGUUUGGCUUCGAUUAAACUUAAAAUUUUAAUAGAUUUUGACAAGAUAUGAUGAAAUAUGUAAUUGAAAAAGUUGAUAUAAGUUGUAGAACCCAUGAAAUCAUUGAAAUGUAUGAUUGAAAAUGAGUUCGGGGGAAAAUGAGUUUUCUAAAAUGGGAGCCAAAGAGGGGCAUAUAUCUUUCCUGUGGAUUUUCCGAGUGGAAUGCAUCAUAUUACAAGGCAUAUGAUGAAGAUACGGCAUAAGAUUCAAAGGUGAAUAGUCCUCAACUGGGAGAGGAUGAUGCAAUGCCAAAUCCGCAUGCAGGUUUCAAUCUUAGAUGAUUUCUAAGUUAUUUAUUUAUUUAAAUUUUGUUGCUUUAUUUAGUUAUGCUUUAUGAUAAUUUCAUUGGGAACUGAGGGACAAAGUUGUUUAGGUCCAAAAUAAGUAGCCACCAACUGUUUCAUUGUAGGAUUGACUUUGAUUUUGAUAAAAU